AGUUGAAGCUGCCAGCCACACAUCUACGUAGCUGGCUAUGCUUUGUUUAUCACACGUGUUGAUAUCAGACCCUCAAAACCAAAACGCGUACACACAAUCAUCUUCUCAUCUCCUCUGCCCCAAUUUCAUCUCAAAACCCUCGCACCAAUCCACCGUAACCCUUCCACCGUUCAGCACUGCCACGAAACACCUCUCAACACUCCUCUAACAAAUUCUUAUGUUGGAACCCACUCUGGUUCCAAAUCGAUAAACGAAUCGGUGAACGGUUUGCGUGAUUUCACGAUCAGAUGACCAGCCAGAUGGUAAUCCAGUUACAACCGCUCUGAGAGAGAGAUAGAAAUUGACGACGACGUUGGUUAGUCUCCGCCCCUAUCAUCACCACUUCCACCACCGCCUCACACUGCCAUCAGUUGUAGUAGUUGAAAACCCUAGACGGUCGGUUCCUGUCUCCCAAAUCCCAUCUUUUUAGCCUAAUAUUAAAGAACUUCUUUGUCUAACACUGAAGAACCCUAAACGAUUGUGACGACGGUGGCGAAUCUGGUCUGGAUUUUGCCAGGUUCUUUCAUAAAGGUUGAUCACUUCUGAGGAUAUAUCCUGGUGUAUCACAUUAUUGUCCUGUUUUGAUAUAGAGACGAAGACAUAACAGCUGGGACACAGGAGGCCCAUCAAGAUCUUUUGGGUUGGUUUGGUGAUGAUGGUUGUUGCGUUGGAGGUGGUGGAUAAAUGAUGAACAGGGUUUGAGUGUUUGGUUGCAGAAGUUGAAAAGCCUACAAAGAUGGGUGAAAGAAUGGUGUUUUGAAUCAAAAGAAGAGAUAUAGUGGCUGGCGUUGACAACAGUCAGCGUUUGCGAAAAAAUCGAGGCCGAUGAUUUUGAAAUAACUUGAGACUUUUGAGGUUGUAUGGCAGGGUAUUCUAAGUCUCCGGUUCUCAUACCACCUAGGGUUAUGCCCUUGCUUCAUGAUUUAGCACAACAUAUGGUGCAUGCUGGUCACACUUACAGGUCGACACGCUUUCUGUCUGAAAAUUUCAACUUUUUCUAAUAAAUGGUUGGUGUGUCAAAUAGAUAUAGAAAGCCUCUUUUAUUUAAAAAAUAAUCUUUCUUUUGUGGAAUUUUUGGAAGGGUUAUAGAUAGAGGUAUAAAAAUGGACGUCACAACAGAUUGAGAAAUUCGUUAAAACGUCUUUAGGUCGAACAGUCAAACCGAGUAGCAUUUUGGUAUGAGUCGAUAUAGAUAGGGGUUGGCUCAACUCCUUUCUUUCCCAAAAAAUACUUUAACUAUUAAUCAAUGGUUAGUGUGCUAAGUUUACUUACAAAAAUGGGUUGGCAGGUUCAGCCUGACCUGAACUCAAAAAAUCUAGACGAACCCGAACACAAUUUGAACCUAAAAAUCGUGUCAUACAUAUGAACACCCAAACACGACCCGAAUAUUAACGGGUUGACCCGAACACGACCCGUUUAACUCGAAUUUUUAUAUACGUUUUUUUCCAGAAAAUU
This is a long non-coding RNA of Helianthus annuus (common sunflower), 1494 nucleotides long. RefSeq lists it as uncharacterized. The transcript is spliced from 6 exons. The record is from RefSeq and is a predicted model, not a curated record. NCBI's taxonomy places the organism in Eukaryota, Viridiplantae, Streptophyta, Magnoliopsida, Asterales, Asteraceae.